UGGGGAAUAUUGCGCAAUGGGCGCAAGCCUGAUCCAGCCAUGCCGCGUGAGUGAAGAAGGCCUUCGGGUUGUAAAGCUCUUUCGGCGGGGACGAAACGGUCCGUGACAACACCACGGACUAAUGACGGUACUCGCAGAAGAAGCACCGGCUAACUACGUGCCAGCAGCCGCGGUAAUACGUAGGGUGCAGGCGUUAAUCGGAAUUACUGGGCGUAAAGCGUGCGCAGGCGGCUCCUUAAGUCAGAUGUGAAAUCCCCGGGCUUAACCUGGGAACUGCGUUUGAAACUGAGGGGCUAGAGUGUGGAAGAGGGGGGUGGAAUUCCAGGUGUAGCAGUGAAAUGCGUAGAGAUCUGGAGGAACACCGAUGGCGAAGGCAGCCCCCUGGGCUAACACUGACGCUCAUGCACGAAAGCGUGGGGAGCAAACAGGAUUAGAUACCCAAGUAGUCCCUGAGCGGGCUGGCAAGGCGCAU
Molecule: ribosomal RNA, 472 nt
Filed under: uncultured bacterium
Lineage: Bacteria
Description: bacterial SSU rRNA
Rfam family: Bacterial small subunit ribosomal RNA
Source: RNAcentral